This 275-nucleotide ribosomal RNA is filed under the name uncultured bacterium. RNAcentral describes it as "partial 16S ribosomal RNA". It matches the Rfam family "Bacterial small subunit ribosomal RNA", at positions 338 to 605 of the family's 1533-position model. The record is from RNAcentral.
CCUACGGGUGGCAGCAGUGGGGAAUUUUGGACAAUGGGCGCAAGCCUGAUCCAGCAAUGCCGCGUGAGUGAAGAAGGCCUUCGGGUUGUAAAGCUCUUUUGUCAGGGAAGAAACGGCCUGGGCUAAUAUCCUGGGCUAAUGACGGUACCUGAAGAAUAAGCACCGGCUAACUACGUGCCAGCAGCCGCGGUAAUACGUAGGGUGCAAGCGUUAAUCGGAAUUACUGGGCGUAAAGCGUGCGCAGGCGGUUUUGUAAGUCUGACGUGAAAGCCCCG